AUCCAGCUGAUGAGUUCCAAACAGGACGUAACGAGCGUCAAACUAGAU
This is a non-coding RNA of Schistosoma rodhaini, 48 nucleotides long. NCBI's taxonomy places the organism in Eukaryota, Metazoa, Platyhelminthes, Trematoda, Strigeidida, Schistosomatidae. The record is from Rfam.